Long non-coding RNA from Symphalangus syndactylus (siamang), 5540 nucleotides. RefSeq lists it as uncharacterized. NCBI's taxonomy places the organism in Eukaryota, Metazoa, Chordata, Mammalia, Primates, Hylobatidae. The record is from RefSeq and is a predicted model, not a curated record.
CCCAGCUAAUUUUUGUAUAUUAGUAGAGAUGGGGUUUCACCAUGUUGGCCAGGCUGGUCUCGAACUCCUGACCUCAAGUGAUCCGCUCACCUUGGCCUCCCAAAGUGCUAGGAUUACAUGUGUGGGCCACCACGCCCAGCCCGAUUUACCCUUUAUACUGGAAUUGGCAGUAGAUGGGGCUGGUGGCUCACAUCUGUAAUCUCAUCACUUGGGGAGGCCAAGGCAGGAAGAUAGCUUGAGGCCAGGAGUGAAACCACUUUUGCAAGAUUAUAACAUUGAGAGGAGGCCAGGCGUGGUGGCUCAUGCCUGUAAUCCCAGCACUUUGGGAGGCCGAUGUGGGCGGAUCACAAGGUCAGGAGAUUGAGACCAUCCUGGCUAACAUAGUGAAACCCCGUCUUUACUAAAACUAUAAAAAAAAUUAGCCGGGCGUGGUGGCGGGUGCCUGCAGUCCCAGCUACUUGGGAGGCUAAGGCAGGAGAAUGGCGUGAACCCAGGAGGUGGAGCUUCCAGUGAGAUGACAUUGCGCCACUACACUCCAGCUUGGGUGACAGAGUGAGACUCCAGCUCAAAAAAAAAAAAAAAAAAAAAAAAAAAAAGAAAAUGAGAGGAAUCUAACAUAACUGACUCCAUCUUGCUUCUAAUCUCACAAGCUAACCUGCCUUUGCUCAGGUGGCAUAGGCCAAGCUAACUAUGGGAGGAAUUUAGUUCAUAGUUUAGAGUAAGGAUGGGCCAGGCAUGGUGGCUCACACCUCUAAUACCUUUAGGAGACCGAGGCAGGUGAAUCACCUGAGGUCAGGAGUUCGAGACCAGCCUGGCCAAUAUGACGAAACCCUGUCUCUACUAAAAAAUAAAAAUAAAAAUUAGCUGGCGUGGUGGCGGGCACCUGUAAUCCCAGCUACUCAGGAGGCUGAGGCAGGAGCAUCACUUGAACCUGAGAUGCAAAGGUUGCAGUGAGCCAUUAUUGUGCCAUUGUACUCCAGCCUGGGUGACAAGAGUGAAACUCCAUCUCGAAACAAAAAUAAAUGAAUACAAAUAAAAAGUAAAGUAAGGAUGAUAAUAGUCUCUUCCCAAAACUACUCCACUCCUUGAGACCAAAGCCGCCUUUAUAAAACUAAUGAAAGGCCACAAGGUUAGCAUUAUGGUAGGGGCUUGAUUUUUUUUUUUUUUUUUUUUUUUUUGAGAUGGAGUCUUGCUCUGUGACCCCGGCUGGAGUGCAAUGGCGCCAUCUCAGCUCACUGCAACCUCUGCCUCCAGGGUUCAAGCGAUUCUCCUGCCUCAGCCUCCAGAGUAGCUGGGAUUACAGGCGCCUGCCACCGCGCCCGGCUUUUUUUUUUUUUUUUUGUAUUUUUAGUAGAGACGGGAUUUCACCAUGUUGGCCAGUCUCAAACUCCUGAGCUCAGGUGAUCUGCCUGGCUCGGCCUCCCAAAGUGCUGGGAUUACAAGCGUGAGAGGCACGGCGCCUGCCCAAGGGCUUGACUUCCGCUCAUGAGCCAGGAUAGGUAGUCAAGGAAGUGACCAUAUCCUUGGGAUGCAGCCACCGUGGCCCGUACAGUCAACACAGUAAGCUUUUACAUUUGCGCUGUGGUCCAGCUCAUCCAAGCAAAGCUAGCUCCAGGAGAGAAAUCUCCCCUCCCCAGCUAGAGAGCAGGCAUAUUUGAUUUUCCCUGUCCUCAGACUGACCUUUUGCUCAUUAUAACAGAAAACACACACCUGGUGGAGAUUUCAGAUGCUAAUGACAUAUACGACAUACAAGCAAGCAAGUGCAGCUACUGCGCGUGUGCACCCAGAGGACCCCCCCAGAACAUGCUUCCUAGCAACGCCUCUGCCCACCCGCUGUGAGGAAUCAUGGAAGACUCCCACGGAGGAGCCUCCCUGGUGCCAGUCUCUGCUGUCUCGCCCUUACGAGCAGCCGGCCAUGAAUCCUCUCUCUCAGGGCGUCCUAUCUCUUCUGCAUCGAACUUUCAAAAUAUUCUUUCUCCUUUGCAAUACAUUGCUCUGUGCUGCAUCUGCUUGGCUGUGUGUCUCUUAUUUAAAUUCUUUUAAACUAAGAAGACAAGAAUGGAGGCCUCACAGCAGCCGCCAACGUUUCUGGUGCUGUGACUCGGAUGGAGGUUUGUCUGCGUCAUUCACUCCAGUUUCCCUUCCCCGCAGCGGGUACCAUGGCAGUGCCAGGCUCCCUGGUUGGCUGCCGCUGGUUUUCCCAGGGCUGUUUCAGUCAAGCUCCGGGGAAGGUUUCUAAGUUGCCUGGACCGUUUCUGUGAAUAUCUGUGCUGCUCUCCUCUGGCUGCUGCCUCUGCACCACUCAUCAUUAUCCAGCCACGUCGGUUGCUCUCAACAUUCAGUAUUCGGGCUGUUUUGCUGCUUCGUUUCACACCUUUCUGGCCUCGUUUCAGACGCAGCUCGUUUGCUGUCCCUCUGGUAACACUCGGCCGCCACCUUGUGGCCAUUGUGAUUUAUUGUCUGAUCGGGUUUCCUGUUUUACAAAAUUUUCUUGUUUUUUCUUUUCUUUUUUUUUUGAGACGGAGUCUCUUUUGCCCAGGCUGGAGUGCAAUGACACCACCUCUGCUCACCGCAACCUCCGCCUCCUGGUUCAAGUGAUUCUCCUGCCUCAGCCUCCCGGGUUGCCGGGACUACAGGGGUCUGCCACCACAGCUGGCUAAUUUUUUGUACUUUUAGUAGAGAUGGGGGUUUCACCAUGUUGGCCAGGCUGGUCUCGAACUGCUGACCUCAAGUGAUCCAUCCACCUUGGCCUCCCAAAGUGUUGGGAUUACAGGUGUGAGCCACCGUGCCUGGCCAAAAUCUGUUUUGAGGGACACAUUAAAAAUGCCCUGUCCCUUCAGACCUUAUGCAUUUUCCAACUCCUUCAGAUGGUCCUUCAACUGGCGUUCUUUGCUGAACAAAAGAUGCUCAGUCAUGUAGAUGCCAGGCUGUGGGGACUGCAUCGGGCAUUCCAGGCAUUGUAAUCGGGCGUCACCAAUGGCCAACCAGUGAGGCAGGGAAAGGCUUGCUGGCGAGACGUUGGGCCCCCCAGCCAGCGGGGGGGCCACCUCAGUCAGGCCUGGAGACUUCCAGCGCCCAUGAGACCCAGGACGGUGCAUGCCAAAUGCCCGUGACCUCCUAGGACCCUGGUUUCAUGGGGUUCAAGGGGCUGUCCCAGACCCUGUCAUGGUCCAGCUUGGCUCGGGGACACCUGUGACCUCCUGGACUUUGGUAUCUGUUUUUGUCAUUGCAGGAUUCUCUCGGCACCAUGGGAACCACCUCCUCUACUCUCGCUGAACACCCCUGGGAUGUAUCUGUAAAAACUGGAACACCUUUCGGCUAGGUACAAUAGGGACUCACCUGGCUGGAGCAGCUCGCACUGGGACUUCACACCAUCCAGGGCCAGAGAAACCGCUCCCCUUAUGGGAGAUCCCAAAUGGAGAGGGGACCAUUAUGGCACAUGUCCCAUAAAUGAUCUGAUUUAUGGACUCACAUCAAUAAAUGAUCUAAUCCAAUGGAAGCAAAAACACAAAAACUCACCUUCUGUAGCAGAGAAAUGGAGAGUAACCCUAGGAGUCCUCCCGAAACUGGGAGAAACACCCUGUCUGGUUGUGGGAGAAACGUCUCGUCUGGUUGGCUCCUUUCCAAAGCAGCUGGACUCUGCACCCCGCAGGUGGCCUGGCUGCCUUAGGGCAGUCGCAGCCAUCACCAUUCUAGUAGAAGAAGCCCAAAACCUGACUUUUUUUUUUUUUUUGAGACGGACUCUUCCUGUGUCGCCAGGCUGGAGUACAGUGGUAUGAUCUUGGCUCACUGCAACCUUCGCCUCCCAGGUUCAAGCGAUUCUCCUGCCUCAGCCUCCCGAGUAGCUGGAAUUACAGGCGUGCACCACCACGUCUGGCUAAUUUUUGUAUUUUUAGUAGACGCGGGGUUUCACCAUGUUGGCCAAGCUGGUCACAAACUCCUGACCUCAAGUGACCCACCCAUCUCAGCCUCCUAAAGUGCUGGGAUUACAGGAGUGAGCCACCUUGCCCGGCCCCAAAACCUGACUCUCAGACACACCUUCGAGGUCCUCACUCCCCACCAGGUGCAGGGAGUUUUAGAAAUAAAGGGCCAUGUUGGCUCUUGGGAGGAAGACUCGCCAUGAUCAGGCGCCCUCCUGGACUCCCUCAAGGUUACUAUAAAAACCUGUGGUACCCUUGAUCCAGCUUCUCUCAUGCCAGCCUGUUCCUGGGAGAACCUAACUCGUUCCAGGGUUGAAACAUGGGCCAGGCCUUUUGCAGUAGAAUAGACCUCAGGGGUGCACCCUCUAGAAUCCUGGUGCUGAAUGGCUCACUGAUGGAAGUAGUUGCAUGGAAAAUAAAAAAAGAGGGGCAGGACAUGCUGUGGUUAGUCUACACCAAACAGCAGAUGCCCACACUGCCACCUAAUACCUCGGCGCAAAAAGCAGAUCGAGUCCCCUGACCGGGGCCCGGCUCAGGGUCAGGGAAAGGCGCUUCACAGGUGCGCCGACUCCAAGGGCGCCUUCCUUGUCCCUCGUGCGCACAGAACUAUUUGGAAAGAACGGGUCUUCUAAAUGCAAGGAAAUCCCCCGUUACAUCUGCAAAAGAAAUACUGCAGCUUUUAGAGACUGUGCAGGAGCCUGAGCAAGCGGCAGUCCUUCACUGCCUGGGACAUCAAAGAGGAAACUCCUCAGUGACAUUGGGAAAUGCAAGGGCGGACAGGAAAGCUAAGAGGGAACUCCAGGAGCAGUGGCUCAGCUGGCCUUGUUCCCCUGUGCCCAUUCUCUUGAUGUAAAUCCAUCUUAACUACAAAAGAACUAGCAGCUGAGCGUGGUGGCUCACGCCUGUAAUCCCAGCACUUUAGGAGGCCAAGGUGAGCGGAUCACCUGAGGUCAGGAGUUCGAGACCAGCCUGGCCAACAUGGUGAAACCCCGUCUCUACUAAAAAUACAAAAAUUAGCCAGGCGUGAUGGCACAUGCCUGUAAUCCCAGCUACUUGGGAGGCUGAGGCAGGAGAGUCACUUGAACUGGGGAGGCAGAGGUUGCAGCGACCCAAGAUCACACCACUGCACUCCAGCCUGGGUGACAGAGCGAGACUCUGACUCAAAAAAAAUAAUAAUUAAAACAUCAAAACAAGCAUAAGCUAAAGAAAGUCAGGGGACUCUUAACACCUGAGGGUUAGUGGCUCACAGGUCAAAAGCUCUUGCUUCCUCAGCCCAACCAGUAGAAAAUGGUUAAAAGUUUACAUGAUUCCCAGCUGGGUGCAGUGGCUCACACCUGUAAUCCCAGCACUUUGGGAGGCCGAAGCACGUGGAUCACUUGAGGUCAGGAGUUCAAGACCAGCCUGGCCUACAUGGAGAAACCCCGUCUCUACUAAAAAUACAAAAAUUAGCCGGGCACGGUGGCACCCACCUGUAACUCCAGCUACUCGGGAGGCUGAGGCAGGAGAAUCACCUGAACCCGGGAGGCAGAGGUUGCAGUGAGCCGAGAUCGUGCCACUGCACUCCAGCCUGGGUGACAGAGUGAGACUCUGUCUCAAAAAAUAAAUAAAAAAAUAAAUUUA